This 253-nucleotide ribosomal RNA is filed under the name uncultured bacterium. RNAcentral's name for it is "partial 16S ribosomal RNA". It matches the Rfam family "Bacterial small subunit ribosomal RNA", at positions 524 to 776 of the family's 1533-position model. The record is from RNAcentral.
UACGGGGGGGGUAAGCGUUGUUCGGAAUUACUGGGCGUAAAGGGCUCGUAGGCGGCCAACUAAGUCGGACGUGAAAUCCCUCAGCUUAACUGGGGAACUGCGUCCGAUACUGGAUGGCUUGGAUUUGGGAGAGGGAUGCGGAAUUCCAGGUGUAGCGGUGAAAUGCGUAGAUAUCUGGAGGAACACCGGUGGCGAAGGCGGCAUCCUGGACCAAUAUUGACGCUGAGGAGCGAAAGCCAGGGGAGCAAACGGG